AGUCUACUGAAUCUCCGUUUAGAUUUCGUCAGACACCAGACCAUCAGGACUGAUGACACUCCAAAGGUCAGUGAAGCG
This 78-nucleotide microRNA precursor is filed under the name Schistosoma mansoni. RNAcentral describes it as "mir-3492 microRNA precursor family". It matches the Rfam family "mir-3492 microRNA precursor family". The record is from Rfam by way of RNAcentral. Lineage: Eukaryota; Metazoa; Platyhelminthes; Trematoda; Strigeidida; Schistosomatidae.